CAACGAAUAUUGGGCAAUGGGCGAAAGCCUGACCCAGCGACGCCGCGUGCAGGAUGAAGCUCUUCGGGGUGUAAACUGCUGUCAGGGGAUAAAAAGCGUAGAGACCUAAUACGUCUUGAGUUGAUUGUCCUCAGAGGAAGCCUCGACUAACUCUGUGCCAGCAGUCGCGGUAAGACAGAGGAGGCAAGCGUUGCUCGGAAUCACUGGGCUUAAAGCGCACGUAGGCGGUCCAUCAAGUGUCCUGUGAAAU
This 250-nucleotide ribosomal RNA is filed under the name uncultured bacterium. RNAcentral describes it as "partial 16S ribosomal RNA". It matches the Rfam family "Bacterial small subunit ribosomal RNA", at positions 355 to 600 of the family's 1533-position model. The record is from RNAcentral.